AGAGUUUGAUCCUGGCUCAGGAUGAACGCUGGCGGCGUGCUUAACACAUGCAAGUCGAACGAUCCUUUGGGAUAGUGGCGGACGGGUGAGUAACGCGUGGGAAUCUGCCCUCAGGAGGGGGAUAACGGCUGGAAACGGCCGCUAAUACCCCAUAUGCCGAGAGGUGAAAUGAAUUUCGCCUGAGGAUGAGCCCGCGUCUGAUUAGCUAGUUGGUGGGGUAAAGGCCUACCAAGGCAACGAUCAGUAGCUGGUCUGAGAGGAUGAUCAGCCACAUUGGGACUGAGACCCGGCCCAGACUCCUACGGGAGGCAGCAGUGGGGAAUUUUCCGCAAUGGGCGAAAGCCUGACGGAGCAACGCCGCGUGAGGGAUGAAGGCCUCUGGGCUGUAAACCUCUUUUCUCAAGGAAGAAGACCUGACGGUACUUGAGGAAUAAGCCACGGCUAAUUCCGUGCCAGCAGCCGCGGUAAUACGGGAGUGGCAAGCGUUAUCCGGAAUUAUUGGGCGUAAAGCGUCCGCAGGCGGCCUUGUAAGUCUGUUGUUAAAGCGUGGAGCUCAACUCCAUUUAAGCAAUGGAAACUACAAGGCUGGAGUGUGGUAGGGGCAGAGGGAAUUCCCGGUGUAGCGGUGAAAUGCGUAGAUAUCGGGAAGAACACCAGUGGCGAAGGCGCUCUGCUGGGCCAUAACUGACGCUCAUGGACGAAAGCCAGGGGAGCGAAAGGGAUUAGAUACCCCUGUAGUCCUGGCGUAAACGAUGAACACUAGGUGUCGGGGGAAUCGACCCCCUCGGUGUCGUAGCCAACGCGUUAAGUGUUCCGCCUGGGGAGUACGCACGCAAGUGUGAAACUCAAAGGAAUUGACGGGGGCCCGCACAAGCGGUGGAGUAUGUGGUUUAAUUCGAUGCAACGCGAAGAACCUUACCAGGGUUUGACAUCCUGCGAACCCCUGAGAAAUCGGGGGGUGCCUUCGGGAGCGCAGAGACAGGUGGUGCAUGGCUGUCGUCAGCUCGUGUCGUGAGAUGUUGGGUUAAGUCCCGCAACGAGCGCAACCCACGUCUUUAGUUGCCAGCAUUCAGUUGGGCACUCUAGAGAGACCGCCGGUGAUAAACCGGAGGAAGGUGUGGAUGACGUCAAGUCAUCAUGCCCCUUACAUCCUGGGCUACACACGUACUACAAUGCUACGGACAAAGGGCAGCAAGCUCGCGAGAGUUAGCAAAUCCCAUAAACCGUGGCUCAGUUCAGAUCGUAGGCUGCAACUCGCCUACGUGAAGGAGGAAUCGCUAGUAAUCGCAGGUCAGCAUACUGCGGUGAAUACGUUCCCGGGCCUUGUACC
RNAcentral lists this ribosomal RNA (1330 nucleotides) under metagenome. RNAcentral describes it as "bacterial SSU rRNA". It matches the Rfam family "Bacterial small subunit ribosomal RNA". The record is from RNAcentral.